RNAcentral lists this ribosomal RNA (1065 nucleotides) under uncultured cyanobacterium. RNAcentral describes it as "bacterial SSU rRNA". It matches the Rfam family "Bacterial small subunit ribosomal RNA", at positions 471 to 1533 of the family's 1533-position model. Lineage: Bacteria; Bacillati; Cyanobacteriota. The record is from RNAcentral.
GACGGUACCUGAAGAAAAAGCAUCGGCUAACUCCGUGCCAGCAGCCGCGGUAAUACGAAGGAUGCAAGUGUUAUCCGGAAUCAUUGGGCGUAAAGGGUCCGCAGGUGGCCAAUCAAGUCGGCUGUUAAAGACCGGGGCUUAACUCCGGGCAGGCAGUGGAAACUGAUUAGCUAGAGUACGGUAGGGGUAGAGGGAAUUCCCAGUGUAGCGGUGAAAUGCGUAGAUAUUGGGAAGAACACCGGUGGCGAAAGCGCUCUACUAGGCCGAAGCUGACACUGAGGGACGAAAGCUAGGGUAGCGAAAGGGAUUAGAUACCCCUGUAGUCUUAGCUGUAAACGAUGGAUACUAGGUGUAGCUCGUAUCGACCCCAGCUGUGCCGAAGCUAACGCGAUAAGUAUCCCGCCUGGGGAGUACGCACGCAAGUGUGAAACUCAAAGGAAUUGACGGGGGCCCGCACAAGCGGUGGAGUAUGUGGUUUAAUUCGAUGCAACGCGAAGAACCUUACCAGGGCUUGACAUGUCGCGAAUCUAGCGGAAACGUUAGAGUGCCUUAGGGAAUGCGAACACAGGUGGUGCAUGGCUGUCGUCAGCUCGUGUCGUGAGAUGUUGGGUUAAGUCCCGCAACGAGCGCAACCCUCGUCCUUAGUUGCCAAUAUUAAGUUAGGCACUCUAGGGAUACUGCCGGGGACAACUCGGAGGAAGGUGGGGAUGACGUCAAGUCAGCAUGCCCCUUACGUCCUGGGCGACACACGUACUACAAUGGUUGGGACAAAGGGCGGCAAGCUCGCGAGAGUAAGCGAAUCUCAUCAAACCCAGCCACAGUUCAGAUUGCAGGCUGCAACUCGCCUGCAUGAAGUAGGAAUCGCUAGUAAUCGCAGGUCAGCAUACUGCGGUGAAUUCGUUCCCGGGCCUUGUACACACCGCCCGUCACACCAUGGAAGCUGGCUACGCCCGAAGUCGUUACCCUAACCCUAAGGGGAGGGGGAUGCCGAAGGUAGAGCUAGUGACUGGGGUGAAGUCGUAACAAGGUAGCCGUACCUGAAGGUGUGGCUGGAUCACCUCCUUU